Molecule: ribosomal RNA, 571 nt
Filed under: uncultured bacterium
Lineage: Bacteria
Description: partial 16S ribosomal RNA
Rfam family: Bacterial small subunit ribosomal RNA
Source: RNAcentral
UGGGGAAUAUUGCACAAUGGGCGCAAGCCUGAUGCAGCCAUGCCGCGUGUGUGAAGAAGGCCUUCGGGUUGUAAAGCACUUUCAGCGAGGAGGAAGGUGGUGAGCUUAAUACGCUCAUCAAUUGACGUUACUCGCAGAAGAAGCACCGGCUAACUCCGUGCCAGCAGCCGCGGUAAUACGGAGGGUGCAAGCGUUAAUCGGAAUUACUGGGCGUAAAGCGCACGCAGGCGGUUUGUUAAGUCAGAUGUGAAAUCCCCGGGCUCAACCUGGGAACUGCAUUUGAAACUGGCAAGCUAGAGUCUCGUAGAGGGGGGUAGAAUUCCAGGUGUAGCGGUGAAAUGCGUAGAGAUCUGGAGGAAUACCGGUGGCGAAGGCGGCCCCCCUGGACGAAGACUGACGCUCAGGUGCGAAAAGCGUGGGGCAGCAAACAGGAUUAGAUACCCUGGUAGUCCACGCUGUAAACGAUGUCGAUUUUGGAGGUUGUGCCCCUUGAGGCGUGGNUUCCGGAGCUAACGCGUUAAAUCGACCGCCUGGGGAGUACGGCCGCAAGGUUAAAACUUAAAGGAAUUGC